Molecule: long non-coding RNA, 2408 nt
Organism: Sander lucioperca (pikeperch)
Lineage: Eukaryota; Metazoa; Chordata; Actinopteri; Perciformes; Percidae
Exons: 3
Source: RefSeq, a predicted model, not a curated record
CUCCCAUGUCAGUGGAAAUCUGUAAGCCCCCAGCAGCCACGCAUCAGCAGCCACAUAACCUCCGUGGUCACAGACUUCACACUGUAAGUCGGUACUAUCAUAGCCAGUGUUCCUCACUGGAGAUUUACUUUUCAUACAGCCCGGUCCUUGCAGCAGUUUAUUACAAGUCUCUGGUGGGAGACAGUUCACAAGUGGUCUACAGGGCUUUAGGAUUUAUGUUCAUUAUAUUCAGUGCAUAAGUAAUUCUUUCAUUUGUAAACACAUUACAUUAACAAUCUGUCUAUACCACAGGGGAAGGAGGGAUCCUUUUGUGCCAAUCUUGGAUUGGCUUUCUGUAGCCUCCUGCCAUCUGUAAUGUCAGGUUAGUGUUAAGAAACAAAAAAAAAAAAACUGGCUUUCAAGUAGAAAAUCCAAUUUUAACGCAUCAGUAACAAAGCUUGUCAUUUGAGAUGCAUCCUUGCAUAAUGAUGCAACAACAAGCCCUGACAGUCCUAUGAUGUGUCGCCUUACAAUAAUGCAGAGAUCAUUCUGAAAAAUUUGAGAAAAUUAAGGAAUAUAAUCAGUAGGCACACAGGGUUCAUAAGUAGGACUAGGAUAUAACAUCCACAAGGAGGAGAGUUUUUGAUAAAAGUACAGAAUACAAUGUAACACUCAAAUAUUCUGCCAUCACGCCUGUAAUCUGACAAAUCACACAGUAUUUAUGCUCAAGUUGCAGUGACAGUUUUUUCCCAGUGUUUUUUUUCUCUCACUGUGUAUAGUGACUAGGCACUGUGUAUAGUGCUAGUCCACUAGGCACAUAAUUCGCCUUUCAACUUUAGGCUUUGUACUAAAGGAACAGGACACCCUAAUAAUAAAAGAAUGCAAUAGACAAAAGAAGGCUAAAAUUGAAGGCAGACAUACACAUGUUGCAUAAAAAAGGGUAUUUCCAUGGCUUGCAGUUUCUUCUUUUACUAAGUUUGAAUUGUUUGCCACGAUAGCAGUGAGCCUGUGAGGAUGCCAAUGUCAGACAUUCCACCACUUUGGUCCAGACUGAAAUGUCUCCACAACUACUGGAUCGAUUGUCAUGCAAUUUGGGUUCAGACAAUUUCAACUGUUAGAAUGCUAACGCACUAAAGUAAGAUGGUUAACAUGAUUAAAAUUACCCGCUAAACAGCAGCGCCAUUGCUGCAUCCUGGGCUUAGCGCUGCCCAAGACGAUUGUGAUUGGUUUAAAAGAUAUACAAACGACCCAAAAGGUUUUUUUCCCCCUAUACCAGAAUGUUUACUCAUGCAGCCAGACAAUACUCCAGCACUGACACAGCAUGUUGAUGUUAACAUUCAGCUCAAAGCAAGUGCAGCCUCACAGAGCUGCUAGCAUGGCUGUACCUUGUUUGUGUCUUUUUUUUUUAGCAUUACAUAGACACAAACUAAUUCUAAAUCUUACUUCAACUUUUUCCAUCUUUGUCACUCUUUCCCCGCAGCCAUUGUUCUUUUUAGUAUCAUUGUUCCAGUUUCACUCCAUUUUGUUUACUACUUAACCUUCAUGUGUCCCUCAUUGGUGUGGAGAGUAAACAAAUGCAAAAACAUUGCUAAAAUAUUGUAAAAGGUGUCCUUUCCUUUUUAACUGACAAAAUGAGGCAGAGGCAGAAUUAUUCUGAGCUAAAAAGGUUCUAUUCAAAUGUCUAAUGUAGCAAACUAAAGGCCUUAACAAUGUGAAAGGCAGUCACUGCAUCUCAUUUAGUCCUGUAUUAAAAAGCAGCUCAGGUGGAUAAGUGUGGCUCUUGGGUGGAUAAGAUGAAAUUAUUUGAGGGUGUUCAAAAUGGCAAACAGUUAUGUGCUUGUGAAUCUUUGUGUGGUCUAAGAGGGGAAACCGUUAACAAUGGAGUGGACUGCUAUUAGAAUGUAAAGUGUAUGAACAGCUGGUUUGCAUAUAGAUCCCAACAGCACUUUAUCCUUGCGAGGAGUGCUCAUUGUACAUGAUGGAUAUGUUUUUAGGAAUAUUGCUGUAUUGAAGAAAUGUAUUUAUUUUUGGAGUUUGUAUGACAAGCCAUCGCUCCUGUAGUCUAAGUCACUAAGGUGACCUCUUAACGCCCUAAAUUUAUAAGUGUGAUGGAUCGACUGCAUGUUUUCUUGGGGUGGCAUCGAAGAGUGCCGCCAUCUGUAUAAUAGGAACCAGCCCAAACAGAUUACAUGCAUGUCAGUGCCAAACACGGCAGUAAGCUCUGUGGACUGUUUGCUAUUUCCUAUCUCUUGUGCCCGGCUCUCCAAACAUUUGUCUCACCAGUGGUUACAAACCGUAGCAAAAUUAGCAUGUUACAGUUAACGCAUUCUUUUAUUAUUCUUUUUUUGUCUAAUCCCACUAUUUCUGUUUCUUCAGUUUUCUGAUUUGCAUGACUCCCUACUUUCCUUUAAAUUGGUUUAUAAAAUUGU